UGUGUGUGUGUGUGUGUGUGUGUGUGUGUGUGUGUAUAUAUAUAUAUAUAUGUGUGUGUGUGUGUGUAUAUAUAUAUAUAUAUACACACACACACACACACACACACACACACACA
This is a non-coding RNA of Podarcis lilfordi (Lilford's wall lizard), 116 nucleotides long. The record is from the annotation of a GenBank genome assembly. Lineage: Eukaryota; Metazoa; Chordata; Lepidosauria; Squamata; Lacertidae.